AAUUUAAAAAAAAAAAAAAGAGAAGAUUUUUGUUCCGCUAUUUUGACUUAGUAGAGUAACUAGUGGUCUUCAUGCAUCCCAUGUUGACACUGAGGCCAAAAAACUAAGCAGAAUAUGAGCAGUGCUAGUAGCCACCUAGGGUUAUGAACCAAGAAACCGGGGGUGGUCACCACAAACUGGUCUAUCUUCAUGUCAAAAGGUCUAUGACACCUUGGGCAAGCCUAAAAGUAUUGAAUAACUUAAAAGCACCUCAAUUUCCUGUCGUUGGGUAAAAUUGUGUGAAAUUUGUGACUUGACAGGUUGGCAGAUGAUUCUUUAUGCAUUGACUAAGCUAUUUUGAAACUAAAUUGUGUGGAUAUUUUGAAAAUACUCAAGUGUUGUGUUUUAUGUUGAUAAGAACUCUUAAAAUCGAUUAUUUAUUGUGUGAGAAAUUGAGAAUUGCUUAUUAUGUUAUGUUUAUUGUGUCUUUUAGUGUUUUGCAUCAAGAAUGGAUGAGGAAACUUGUGUGAAUGAAUGUUAGAUGUUAUUGAUUGACAGAUUUCGGUUAUGCUUAAGGACAAACAUUGGAUUAGUGUGGGGGAGUUUGAUAAUGUGCAUAAUUAGCAUAUAUUUUAUUGGUUUUGCUUGAUAUUUUAGGAAAAUAUUGAAAUAAAUAUGUUGAAAUUUAUUUUGUUUUGUGUUUUGUGGCUAGGUGAUGGUGAAUGAUUGCAAAAGUGGAGAUUUUGGAUGCUUUUUAUGAAUAUUUGAACUGUUGACUAGAAUUUCGCAUGUUAUGGACCAAUUUGUAGAAUUUGUCCAUUAAGCCGUGCCCACAGCUUAAGUUCACGUGGAUACAAAGCAGAGACAGAGUCAAAUGCAUGACUGAAGAUUCUAUUUUGAUCGACUUUAGGCCCCAUUUUGGAAAUAUUAUAUUUUAAAUAGGACUAUUGAUUAGGGAAAUUAGGAAGAACAAGUUUUAUGUCUACUUUUUCUCUCUUUUCCAAAGUUAGUUACAAUUUGCCCUUUAUUAGGAUUUCUUAUGUUUUAUAUAGGGGGGAACGCAAGUUUUAGAUUCAUGUCAGAAAUUACAUAAUUCCUUUUAUUUUUUUCUUUUGCACGUUUUGUAAGCCAUAUGUGGCUAAUUCUUCUUUGAUCUAGAAAAGGUUAAUCGAAGUCAAGAUUUAUUCAAGUUGUGAGAUCUAA
Molecule: unclassified non-coding RNA, 1182 nt
Filed under: Hevea brasiliensis (rubber tree)
Lineage: Eukaryota; Viridiplantae; Streptophyta; Magnoliopsida; Malpighiales; Euphorbiaceae
Source: RNAcentral